AUUCCACCUCUUCUUUUCAUUUUUGUCACUGUAAUUUUAUUAUUAAAAAGGGCUUCGUGCAAUUGUCGUCACCCUGGAAUACUGGUUAUAACAAUUGUCAUUUGACAGUCGCCUAAUAGCAGAGUCGAAUGAACCGCCCUUUUACUCGAGUAAAGAAUGAAUGUAUAAUCUCGCCUAAGUGGUUGUAAGUGGAGUUUAUUUCCGCGGCUAAUUAUCAUAUUAUUUUUCAAGAUCACGACCAGGUUUUUUUCUGUUUGCUCCGUUCAGUUGCGGAUAAAUUUAUUACCUGGAUUUAUAUGGCGCCGGUAGGUUGAGGACUCGCGCAACUUUACUCUAGGUGGAGGUAUAGAGUUCCACUGCAAAUGAAAGAAGUUUGUUGCAAAAUAGAUAAGUAAAAUCCAUCUUGUAAAACUGUGUGAAAAGGUAAUCAGUGGAAUAUUUUGCUGUCAUCUUAAUUGAGAAAUAUUCAAGACGUAAAUUUUUGGAUGAUCGAAUUUUUUAAUUCUUCAUGAAAUUGCUCUGGUAACAAGAACCGAAGAAUUGCAAUUGUUUAAGACUCAACAAAGUAGAUCGUCUUUUGAA
Molecule: long non-coding RNA, 582 nt
Organism: Parasteatoda tepidariorum (common house spider)
Lineage: Eukaryota; Metazoa; Arthropoda; Arachnida; Araneae; Theridiidae
Source: RefSeq, a predicted model, not a curated record